This 4889-nucleotide ribosomal RNA is filed under the name Triticum aestivum (bread wheat). RNAcentral describes it as "partial small subunit ribosomal RNA". Lineage: Eukaryota; Viridiplantae; Streptophyta; Magnoliopsida; Poales; Poaceae. The record is from RNAcentral.
UACCUCCUACACGUACGUGGUUACCUACAAGUCGAGCGUGGUGUUCUCCGAAACGGGCGGGGAGUCCUCCGACGCCCGUUGCACUUACGGGAUCGUCUACAGCAGCUUAUGUAAAAAGUUAAAUAGUGACAACAAGGGGUGGUUCUACUCCGUAAUUUCUCAUGGAACACAUUCGUUCCUUGUAGUUCUUCCUUCCAAUAGAGUUUGGCUCCAGUUUGAUAAGAGAGCCAGCAGUCACUAGAGUAACUGGGAGUAUGCCCUCGUACCCUGCUCGGGGACUAGGCAAGAUAAAAAUUAGGACAGCUGCGGUAUUCCUAGUACGUUUAGGGUUAAUUAGUAUUACGUAAACUACUAAAAUAACGGACCUCGGGUCUAGCUUCUCCAUAAAAAAGUCAAGCAAGCCGCAUGGCGAAUGUUACCUAAGUUAGAAAAGUCCGCGUACGUUUACAUAACCGUGCGGGUCGACCUAGUUUGAAUAGUCUUCAUACCGGAUGUGACACCUUUGACGUCCAAGGUGCAUUCUAAGUCUAAAAAACGACCGCACGUGAAGUACCUUAAUAGGGGGAUUCUAGGUAUGAGUGAUUAUCUGUACACCCAUGGUUACCGAGUACAGGCUAAACAGUGGUCCUGCGUUUUCUACAUGCGGUAGACGAAAAACUGACAUGUGUCCGUUUCCUUAAUACCGAAGCUGACCCAUAUGACCUAUAACAACUUCUUCGCUUCAAUUAACUAGCGAGACCAAGUUAGUAUGAGCUUGUGGACUAGGAUCGUCUGAGGUCUGGCUAGGGAUAUUUCGGAUUAAACGUACAUUUCGUCCACUAUCGCCAACCCCGAACCAUGAAUACCACCCACGCGGCAGUUGAGUGGGUACUACCUAGUGGCGGUGGAGGGAGCUCUACCGGAUAAAGCCAGGACCGUUAACGUUUAUUAAAAGUAGUUCGGUUGAAUUUUUAAGCGCAACAUGUACUUGUAUUUACCUCGUUCGGCCUUGGGUUCAAACACUUCGAUUUGCACCUACGGAGAAAGGUAUACCUACUCCCACGUCCUCGGUAACGUCGACAAGAAUCUCUGUCAUUACCAUUAAAAAACCGCCGUGUUAUAGCCAAAUAUGGAAUGCAUCGUCUACACCACUGUUGCCUCCGAUACCGAUACGCAUUACCUGAUUAGAAACGUUUAAGAGACCCCAAGAGAGCUCACCUUCGACUCAGACUGAGGAACUGCCAUUAACUAAUAACAUGACCUGUCUGUUCUACCACCCUACGACGCCGCCGCUAGAAACGCCUUACACACCUGCACAGAAGCAGUUAGCCCUUCCGCUCGCACGAGUUUUAGGGGGAGCUGGGGCCGACGUAGUCCGCUGAGGCGCUGGGGUGGCGGCCGGAGGCGGGAGGGGCGUGGCCGCUGGAGGGGGAGGAGAGGGAAGGGAAGGGAAGGGGGUAUAGCUCUUCCCUCCGGUACCACGAGGGUUGUACCGACAUAGAUCUGGUUCGGGCACCCCAAGGUCGAGCUGGAGGAGCGUCGCUGGUGCCGCCGUCCUAGGCGCCUAGGUACCGGUGCCGCCACGCUCGCGCGUCUGCGUCGGAAGUCUUCUCUCCUCCGUACAGCCGGUACCGCAAGGGCGGCGUCGGCCCAGUGACCGAGGUGGUGCUCGAGGAGCGUCAACAGUCACUGCUGCCGCCGAGGCUUGGGAUCGCCUGCGAGGACGAGCAGAAGGAGGUGUGGAGACGAGCACGGGCAGAAGGAGCCGCGGUAUAAGUCGUGGAUGUUCUUGCGUCGAAGGAGAGGGCGCUGUCCCCUACCUUGAACAGUUUAGAACCAGACUUCCCUUACAAUAGAGGACUCCAACCUGUCGAAUGAUUAUACGUAAAAGAUAUUCGUAUAAGAUAUCAAGGAGACCACUGCAAACAAAGACUUGUGAAACCAAAACUGUAUUGUACAAAGUGCGAAAGUUGGUAUUCUAUCAUAAACCAUAAAGACUUUGAUGGUUGACUUAUUCUCAGUAAAACGUGAAGCUAUAUCCGAUAGUACAACUCGUGUCAUCAUUUCGACUUUGAAGCAUCACACAUACAAAAGGACUACUCCGAAUACUGGAGUCGAAAACUCGACAGUUAAUUCCGUGUAGUUAGUUGAACCACAUACAAGAAAGAACCUCACAUCAACCUAUGUUCUGUCCACAAAGAAGAACCUAGAUGCCCUGAAAACUCUUAUGUUAAAACGUACCUAGUUUAAGUUUAUGGUGGGUCACGAAAUACAUCAAAAGGAUAACAAUUAUGGUAUCAUUUAGAUAGACAACUUAAUACAUACGGGUAAGUCCGUGAGUGGUUCUUUCGUAGAAUACAGAUGUCUAUAAUAAAAAACAUAGAAUACAUGAACACUUUACUACAAGCGGGAAGUUUUAAAAGACUAGAUAAAAGGAAGGUAGGUAUCACAUGACGUGUCCUUGAACAAGAUACCAUAAUAGGGAUCUCUCUACCCUCUAAAUGCUCUCGACUUCCACAACCUAGACCCCAUGUUAUUGAAGUUACCUGGUUAAGGUAGUCUCGAUUAUUUGUAAAAUAGGGACCUUAAAUACACGCACGCUUGAAACUAUGAGGGAGGCAAGCAAAAAUAUUCCGCAAAGUCUGUCGACUCAAACUUGACAAAUCAUGUGACAGACUUAAAUGAUUUUGCAGAAUAUAUUCACUUGUCUCCCUCAUAUACAAAGAAAAAGUAAAGACAAAUUGAAGUUUUGAACUGACUGGAAUGAUAAACUUAACGUCGAAAGAAUUUUCUUUGUCUGAAAUACCACUAAAUGGAGAACUUGAUUUACUCGAGUAGUCAGACACACUCAGAGUCCAAGCGGUGCCGUCCUGAAAGAGUUUAUCCUACGGGCGACGUUCCAAACAGAUUCAAAAGAAGAUGAACGUAUAGACUCUCAAUUUGAGCACUAAUACGUUCCGAACUCAAUUUAAAAGUUUAGUUUAUCCCUAAACUCGUUCGAACUAAAACCAAUUUUUUAGGGUGGGACAAGGACGUUAGUGUACAUACAAUUACUAUAGACUUUAUAAACUCUUAAUAGACAAAGCUGAGUUCUUUAUAGUCUGAAGAAAAUCCUUGUAAAGGAGGUGUUUUACCAUUUAAUAUAGGCUCAGCCGUAGGGACUUUGGGUCGGGUUUAGGUGUAUAUUGGAGUGAGGCCUACUUGGGAUCUGGGUUUAGAGAACUGUUACGGUACAACUUUCUAUCCGAACGAUUCUAAGCCGAGUUCUUAAGGACUCCCAUGAAGACAGAAAUAGUAUAAACAAGAGUGUGGAACCCGCAACACAAAAGGGCGGCGUUGCGUGCGCAGCUGGGCGUCAGGAGUACAAUUCACUUGGUCUUCGCCAUGUACGCUCUCUUUUCUUUUUGUGUGGGUUGGUGGACGUGCUGGGAAGGAGAGCUAGGGUAGACCUGGAAAUCAUAAGAGCCCUAUAUAGACUAAUACUACUACAAGGCAUGACGAGACCUCGGCUGUUGAAAAACCUGACGAGCUACAAAUAUUGGUUACUCUGAUGAAAAAACCAACAACCGACCUCCGACCUCGAUAGUGACACUGACUUUAAAAGAAAAGUGGUUUCAUUAUAAUAUACCAGUAGUUUUUGGUUACUGUCCAGUUGUGAACAGUCGUCAAACGUUAAACAUAAUGUCAUACGCAUUCGGUUACCAGUCUGUAACAACAAAAUCAAUCCUUUACAUCUUUUGCACAAGUACUAAAUACAUCUAACCUAUCAGGGAAGUUUGACGUCAUAAGCUAGAACUCGCCUGUUAGAUUGAUAUACAAAGGAAUAUCUUUUAACUGAUAUACAAGGUACUUAACUGACUAAUCAAACCGUGCUAGUCUAAUUUGAUCCAGAACUAAACUUCCAGGUCAAUCCCGUCGACCACGACCAAACAAAUAACAUUAUGAUUGAUACGGUAAAUCUGUCUCUGUACACCAGAAAGAGUAAGGAGCUGUAAAGGAAACGAUGGUUCUAAAAAGUAAGAUCCAACACCUUUUUGCCUACAUCGUAAGGAAGAUGUUCAACAGUACUCGACCCUGUAUCUUCUUCUCUCGGCUGUAUCUUCUUCUCUCGGCUGCUCUUCAACGUGUCGCCAAGCGAGGCCACAGCGACGGUUACCGCAACGCGUUUCACGUCUAACGUCCGAUCUACGCAUGCUCAGGUAGGGAUGCAGGUACUACAACUUCGUAUCCUUUAGUUCAGUUAAUCUAUCAUAUAGACCAAGACUUUCAACAGAAAACACAUCAUAUAGACCAAUACUUUCAACAGAAAACACAUGCGUCAAAACGGUAAUAAAACAUUUUCGAAACUCAAAAACUAUUAUAUUAACAGAAUGAUUAUUGUGAAAAUUAGUUAAGUAUGGUUCCGAUUAUCGGUUCAAUACGUGUUUAACAAGUACAAAAGAACUACUGACGAUAACAGUCUUCUAAAAAAAGUCGUAAAUUCAUUAUGGCUAGGGUGAAAGUCAAUACAUACGUUUCGGUCAUCGUUUCAUUACUGGCGAGGAACAACCAGCCUAUAAAGGAUAAAGGUCCGAAAUAGAGUAAGACGAAAAGCGUGGUACGACUAAACACUUACUCUUGGAUGUACUAGUAGGUGGGACUAAACAUUAAGCACCAGUGUAGGUCUGUGAGUCCAUACGUUAUACCAAAACGAGAAAAAACACACUAACAGUCGUAAGGGGUGACAAAGAAUGACAGUCUAUUUUUGUUUUCCUCUAAAGUGAGAUGUUACCUACAGAAAGAGGGUCGGAGGGUCCGUAUACAUUAAGGUGACGAGACUAACAGUAGAUACAAACUGCCGCUGCUACGAGAUGGAGUUGCGUCAGGUCCAGAUGGAGGUGGUCCAUGCCACGGUACUCCUUUGUGGGUUC